GACGAACGCUGGCGGCGUGCUUAACACAUGCAAGUCGAACGGAAAGGCCCUGCUUUUGUGGGGUGCUCGAGUGGCGAACGGGUGAGUAACACGUGAGUAACCUUCCCUUUACUUUGGGAUAACUUCAGGAAACUGGGGCUAAUACCGGAUAGGAGCUCCUGCUGCAUGGUGGGGGUUGGAAAGUUUCGGCGGUUGGGGAUGGACUCGCGGCUUAUCAGCUUGUUGGUGGGGUAGUGGCUUACCAAGGCUUUGACGGGUAGCCGGCCUGAGAGGGUGACCGGCCACAUUGGGACUGAGAUACGGCCCAGACUCCUACGGGAGGCAGCAGGGGGGAAUAUUGCACAAUGGGCGGAAGCCUGAUGAAGAAACGCCGCGUGCGGGAUGACGGCCUUCGGGUUGUAAACCGCUGUCGCCUGUGACGAAGCGUGAGUGACGGUAAUGGGUAAAGAAGCACCGGCUAACUACGUG
RNAcentral lists this ribosomal RNA (468 nucleotides) under uncultured bacterium. RNAcentral's name for it is "partial 16S ribosomal RNA". It matches the Rfam family "Bacterial small subunit ribosomal RNA", at positions 28 to 507 of the family's 1533-position model. The record is from RNAcentral.